CCUACGGGAGGCAGCAGCUAAGAAUAUUCCGCAAUGGACGAAAGUCUGGCGGAGCGACGCCGCGUGGAUGAUGAAGGCCGGAAGGUUGUAAAAUCCUUUUGCCGGGGAAGAAUAAGCAUGGGAGGGAAUGCCCGUGUGAUGACAUGAACCGGCGAAUAAGCCCCGGCUAACUACGUGCCAGCAGCCGCGGUAAU
This 194-nucleotide ribosomal RNA is filed under the name uncultured bacterium. RNAcentral describes it as "partial 16S ribosomal RNA". It matches the Rfam family "Bacterial small subunit ribosomal RNA", at positions 338 to 524 of the family's 1533-position model. The record is from RNAcentral.